GUCUGGUGCUAUUUGCUUGUAGAUCCACCUAAUAACAUUUCGAACUUAGUAGUUAAAUGCAAGUAGAAGGUUUAGUAUUGAGAGGACAACUUCUUGAGAAAUUUCCUUUUGUGCCAGGUU
RNAcentral lists this ribosomal RNA (120 nucleotides) under Trachelomonas grandis. The record is from RNAcentral. Lineage: Eukaryota; Euglenozoa; Euglenophyceae; Euglenales; Euglenaceae.